This 2256-nucleotide long non-coding RNA is filed under the name Hordeum vulgare. Its description in RNAcentral is "long non-coding RNA (HVUL_LNC012976)". Lineage: Eukaryota; Viridiplantae; Streptophyta; Magnoliopsida; Poales; Poaceae. The record is from RNAcentral.
AUCAGCUGGGUGUGCGUGUGCGAUAAUAGCGAUGUUAACAUGGACGAUUCCGACACAAACCAACGGCUUUUCAUGGGCAUUGGACGGCUCAAUAGCAAUCCGAGUUUUGCUCACUACUAUACCUCAGAAUUCUCUGGUGAUUACAAGUGAUGGAGCGUAUGGGCAUCAUUGUUUUGCUAAAAGAAAACACAGGCAUCACUUGUCAGCAUAGAGUUCUGCCAAAAUUGACAGUGUGUGCUCUUUUCUAGAUUUGUCUUCUAAAAUUAAAAUCCGUGAGUCCAAAAUUACAAAUCGCUUUUAAUCCUUGUAUUUCUUGCAUCAAGAUCUUUAAAAUUUGAUUCCAUGCUGAAAGGCUUUCACGAACUUUCUUCAAACGGAAUUUGUGCUUCCAACUGCACUAACCUAUGCCGUCGCAAAAGAAAAAAAAACUACACUAACCUAUAAUAUCAACGUGAACUAACCCGUACUUCAAUCUAGUAGUAACUUACUACUGAUUGGGGGCCUGCACAUGACGUGCCGCCUGAGAGGAAUCUCUAUGGUGCCACGUAGGCACACACCGUUUCCAUUUUACUGUUUGUACUACGUGAUAUUAUUUCAUCAGAUUUGGUACAUGCAAACUUCUAACUGGAACAAUAAGACACACGUGUGCAAAACCAACGCAAUCUGAUAAUGGAUUCUCAUCGGCUACAUGAAGUACUGACAUUGUCUAACACUGAUAUGAUUGCGUUGUCCCUAGUUAUAUACUCUACCUACUCUAAAUUUUCCACACCUCUCUUUUUUGGGGUAUCAAAACGAGUGGAACUAAACGUAGAACACAAGUAGUACAACAAAUAAUCAGUAAUGGUUCACCGCAAAACUAUAGAGUAUACUCACCUGCUCCUACGUGUUUGUGUUCGUCACAUCAGUAGCAAUUGGGUCCUCCGUUGUCACAUCACCAACCGGGGCAACUGUCGCCAUAGCCACCUCGUCGGUGAGCAGAUCACCAUUGGUGGUGGUGGUCUGGUGAUGCCCUUUCUUGCCAUCCUGCUAGUGGGUCCUAGGCUCAAUGAGGAACUAGAAGAGUGGUCUCACGAAGGCCUUAUGUGGACGAAAGAUCGGUCGGCGCUCCUGUCCCGGGAAUAUGGCGGCGAACAACAAGGACGAAUACGAUAGGCUCCUCAUGUCCAUGAACAUGUACCAACCCUCCCAAUAUGCGUUCUUGGGAAACUCAUGCCUUACAAAGAGGAAGAAUAGAAAGAAAUAAGGAGAGAAACUUGUAUAACACUGACAGGACUAAAAUUCAAAACCAACAAAGCAAUUUCACUAAUCACAACCUUUUUCUAAGAAUGCAACCCAAGCCAAGUCUACGAGAAAUGCAACCCAAGCCAAGUCUACGAGACUGUCAACAACCCUCCUCAUUUGAUUAGUCAGGUCUGCUUCCUUCAAGGUCAUGAGAUUGUUAGUAACACUCUUCAUAUGAUUAAAGUAGCCAAGUCUCCUUACUUCAGUCACAGAAGUUGUGUUUGUAAUAUUGUUAUAGAGAGGUUUAAAGAAAUUAUGCGCAUUGGCCAUUGAUGGAGGUUUUUGCAUAACAAAGAAACAAAAAAUGCUCAGAGAUGGAAGGAUCAGAAUUGCAUUUUGACCCAUCUAGCGCGAUGCUAUUGUAUACCGCAACAUCCUAUGCUAAAGAAAACCCCACAAGCAUGUUCAUGAUACUAUGAAAGUAAUGGCUUGUUAUGCAAAUAAUUAUCGAUUUAUAACAGCUACUUGUGGUAUGGAGUCCCAGAUUAAAACCCACAAUAGACUCCUUACUAUAUACUGGAAUUGCUUAAAAUAAUCAAAUGGGUGUACCUAUAAUAAAGGAAGCAUACAUAUUAUUAUAGAACCAAAUAUGAAACAAUAUGCAAACUUUGCAUUUUUGUCAUAUAAGUGAAAUUUGGAAGAUAUGAACCUUUUUAUGAGGAUAAGCGUACUUUCUUUGGGAUGCUCAUAUCGGUCUUAUAAGGAAGGUCAAUAAAUAUAUGAGCACAUCAAGGAUCCCCAAAAGUUGCACCAUAAGAAAAGAAUGCAAGAGUAGAGAGGAAACACCAAGGGGGUUACAUUAGUAAACCUGAUCUCAUCCUAGAACUCGUAGAACCAAGGGUGUGUUUGGUUGGAGAACCAACUGUCAUGGAAUGGAAUGGUUCCAUUCCAGAGGAACGGGCCGGUUCCGUUCCUGUGUUUGGUACGAGCAAAAAAGUGGAACGAGAUGGUUCCAUUCGAGUGUUUGGUUGGGAG